GAACAACCAAAAGAACAAACGAUCCACCUUAAGACUCGAAGGCAGGGUUCCGGCCAAGGCCAAAAGCAGCGAGGUUUUUCCCGCGCCAGGGGGACCCAGAAGCAAGGUCAUCCUGAAAAUGGAUGGGAUAAGCUGAUAAGGUGGAGAGCAUUUGCCAGGCCCUGUUUGAAGACGAUCACCACCAUGUAUGUAAGUACGCAUAUUAUGCAAGCACAAAAAUUAAGGUAAAUGAAUGCAAUGGAGUCCUGCACGUUUGUAACUCCUAACACUGAAGCUGCAUAAUAGACCAGUAUGCUGGAUUUGCAGUUAUCCUAACGUUCGGAGCUUCAGUGAGCAAACUUGACUUUUUAUCCGAGACAGUUUCCUUACUGACUCCGAAUGGAGAAUACUGAUGUUUUUUUCAAAAUAUUUAGGACUGGUGUGUUAACAUGGGA
Molecule: long non-coding RNA, 434 nt
Organism: Aegilops tauschii subsp. strangulata
Lineage: Eukaryota; Viridiplantae; Streptophyta; Magnoliopsida; Poales; Poaceae
Source: RefSeq, a predicted model, not a curated record